UCAGCGACUUAUAUUCUGUAGCAAGGUUAACCGAAUAGGGGAGCCGAAGGGAAACCGAGUCUUAACUGGGCGUUAAGUUGCAGGGUAUAGACCCGAAACCCGGUGAUCUAGCCAUGGGCAGGUUGAAGGUUGGGUAACACUAACUGGAGGACCGAACCGACUAAUGUUGAAAAAUUAGCGGAUGACUUGUGGCUGGGGGUGAAAGGCCAAUCAAACCGGGAGAUAGCUGGUUCUCCCCGAAAGCUAUUUAGGUAGCGCCUCGUGAAUUCAUCUCCGGGGGUAGAGCACUGUUUCGGCAAGGGGGUCAUCCCGACUUACCAACCCGAUGCAAACUGCGAAUACCGGAGAAUGUUAUCACGGGAGACACACGGCGGGUGCUAACGUCCGUCGUGAAGAGGGAAACAACCCAGACCGCCAGCUAAGGUCCCAAAGUCAUGGUUAAGUGGGAAACGAUGUGGGAAGGCCCAGACAGCCAGGAUGUUGGCUUAGAAGCAGCCAUCAUUUAAAGAAAGCGUAAUAGCUCACUGGUCGAGUCGGCCUGCGCGGAAGAUGUAACGGGGCUAAACCAUGCACCGAAGCUGCGGCAGCGACGCUGAUGCGUUGUUGGGUAGGGGAGCGUUCUGUAAGCCUGUGAAGGUGUGCUGUGAGGCAUGCUGGAGGUAUCAGAAGUGCGAAUGCUGACAUAAGUAACGAUAAAGCGGGUGAAAAGCCCGCUCGCCGGAAGACCAAGGGUUCCUGUCCAACGUUAAUCGGGGCAGGGUGAGUCGACCCCUAAGGCGAGGCCGAAAGGCGUAGUCGAUGGGAAACAGGUUAAUAUUCCUGUACUUGGUGUUACUGCGAAGGGGGGACGGAGAAGGCUAUGUUGGCCGGGCGACGGUUGUCCCGGUUUAAGCGUGUAGGCUGGUUUUCCAGGCAAAUCCGGAAAAUCAAGGCUGAGGCGUGAUGACGAGGCACUACGGUGCUGAAGCAACAAAUGCCCUGCUUCCAGGAAAAGCCUCUAAGCAUCAGGUAACAUCAAAUCGUACCCCAAACCGACACAGGUGGUCAGGUAGAGAAUACCAAGGCGCUUGAGAGAACUCGGGUGAAGGAACUAGGCAAAAUGGUGCCGUAACUUCGGGAGAA
This 1122-nucleotide ribosomal RNA is filed under the name Escherichia coli. Its description in RNAcentral is "partial 23S ribosomal RNA". It matches the Rfam family "Bacterial large subunit ribosomal RNA", at positions 620 to 1744 of the family's 2925-position model. Lineage: Bacteria; Pseudomonadati; Pseudomonadota; Gammaproteobacteria; Enterobacterales; Enterobacteriaceae. The record is from RNAcentral.